Long non-coding RNA from Girardinichthys multiradiatus, 716 nucleotides. RefSeq lists it as uncharacterized. The transcript has 3 exons. Lineage: Eukaryota; Metazoa; Chordata; Actinopteri; Cyprinodontiformes; Goodeidae. The record is from RefSeq and is a predicted model, not a curated record.
GAGAGGUGCUGGAAAAUGGACACUGCAGGACUGAGAAAGCUUAUUUCAAGGAAAGGAAGGAGCUGGUUUUUCACCUAUUGUGACCACCUGUGAACUUUAAAAAUAAAGGAAAGGAGGAAAAGAAAAAUUGUUUCUGGGUCAUUGAGUGAAAUCCAGUUUGAAUCCUGUUGAAGCAAGCUGCCUUUUCAAGUGGGGGAAAGCUGCAGUGUAAGCCCAAAAAAGUGGGAACCACUUGACAGAAGUAGCAAUACAAAUGGCUGGUUACCAAAAAAUAAUUUUGUGCCAGUUGUGCAAGUUUUGUUGGGCCGAGUAGGAGAAUCCAGGAGUGGUUGAAGCUUAAAUCCUGGAAAAUAAUUAUGGGCAUGAUAAACAGGUGAGUAAUUGACUGCAUAUGCUGCAGCUGUUAGGAAGCAUGAAAUGGAGUACUAAGGAACAAUGACUAGAAACAAAUACCAUAUUGAAACAGAACACAGAUGUAAAACUCAAAAUGACUAUAAACCAAACACAUGAGUUGUACUUUGAUAACUGUGAAGAAACACUAAAGAAAUCUGAAUACAAAGCAUAUGAAUACACAAAAACCAAAGUGACAUUUAAAACACAAGGUCCUAAAGUUCAUGACAGGAAGAGGAAAAGGGAAGUAGGAUUAAAAAGUGACUCCUGUGUCAGUGACCAGAAAUGGUCUGUAAUCACAUUACUAUCUGAUGCCUUUAAAAUAA